GCCGGGCGUGGUGGCGCACGCCUGUAGUCCCAGCUACUCAGGAGGCUGAGGUGGGAGGAUCGCUUGAGUCCAGGAGUUCUGGGCUGCAGUGCGCUAUGCCGAUCGGGUGUCCGCACUAAGUUCGGCAUCAAUAUGGUGACCUCCCGGGAGCGGGGGACCACCAGGUUGCCUAAGGAGGGGUGAACCGGCCCAGGUCGGAAAUGGAGCAGGUCAAAACUCCCGUGCUGAUCAGUAGUGGGAUCGCGCCUGUGAAUAGCCACUGCACUCCAGCCUGGGCAAUAUAGUGAGACCCUGUCUCU
Unclassified non-coding RNA from Cavia aperea (Brazilian guinea pig), 299 nucleotides. It matches the Rfam family "Metazoan signal recognition particle RNA". From Rfam's summary of the family: The signal recognition particle (SRP) is a universally conserved ribonucleoprotein. It is involved in the co-translational targeting of proteins to membranes. Lineage: Eukaryota; Metazoa; Chordata; Mammalia; Rodentia; Caviidae. The record is from Ensembl.